Molecule: long non-coding RNA, 1293 nt
Organism: Humulus lupulus (European hop)
Lineage: Eukaryota; Viridiplantae; Streptophyta; Magnoliopsida; Rosales; Cannabaceae
Exons: 2
Source: RefSeq, a predicted model, not a curated record
CCACAGAAGCAUUCAAGGAAGCUAUUUGGAUACAGGGAUUGCUGCAAGAGUUGAGAACGAUCAAGGGUAAAUGAAUUAUCUACUCAGAUAGCCUUUCUUCAAUACAUUUAUGCAAAAAUCCUGUGUACCAUGAUAGAAGCAAACACAUUGACAUAAGGUUGUUUUGGAUCCGUGAGAAAAUUGAAGAUAAGAUUUUGGAGCUUGAGAAAGUUCCUACAGAAGAGAAUCCAGCAGACCUUAGGACUAAGGUCCUUACACUCAGUAAGCUGAAACACUGCCUAAGCUUAUUGAGUAUUGGUGAUCUGUGAUUGAAAAUGGAGUAUACCACCAAAAUUAUAUGUUACUGUUCGGGUUAAGACUAGAAGAAAUAAGGUGGAAAUUGUAGUAUAUUUUAUUUCUCCUACUCUUAACCUUGUCUUAUUUCUUUAUUGACUAAAACAACUCAACAACAGAACCAACACGUCACACUUACACCAAACAAGUUGGUCUUAUAAAUAGAGACUUAACUGGUUUUGACAAAACAUAUAUUUUUUUUUUGAUAAAGAGAUUAGACCGAGAGAAAGAGUGAGAACUUGUAUCAAGAGAGAGAGAGUGACUUAAAACUGUUAGAAAUUUGAGUGUUUGGAUGUAAUGGUGUACAGGGUGUGAGAAAGAGAGUUUGUACAGUGUGAAGUUUCUGUUCUCCUUGACUGUGUAUAGUGUAAUCUCUCUGUUCUUGUUGAUCAGGAAAGGCCUUUUGGUGGUGCUCUUAAACUGGAUGUAGGAUCAGGAAACUGAUCUGAACCAGUAUAAAUCCUUGCCUUUUCUUCUUUGUUUUUCUUGUUCUGCCAUUUGCUAUUUGUUUUUGUUACUCUGUUUUGUUGUUGUGUGCUCUGUUGGUGUUUGAGAAAUUGUGCAGGUGAGUCUUUGUGUUGAUUUGAGUCAACAGAGGAAGAAAUGAUUUCCUUGGAACCUCAUUCAUUUUAUCUUCCUGCUGCUACACUACGCUGAGAACUUAAACUUCAAGAUUUCUUUUUACACUUGAUAAGAAUAUGAGAAAGAAAACCCAUUAUUAGCCUGAUCCAAGAUAAUUUUGGAGGAAGGGGAAGAAGAACAGUUUCAUUACAUUGUGCUGAGUUGGUAUUUGUUAGCCUAGAAAAGUUGCUUUUUUUUCUUCCUCUGUAAUGUAUAGUUGUUCUUUUCAUUUAGGUACUGUACUGAUCAAGUUUUUUUCUCAGACCAUACCAUUUUUUUUUUGUUUUUAUGAAAUUUACAUGAUACCUGUUCAAGUUUCAGUUUACUGGGUUUGAAUAA